GAGAGAGACAGAGAUCAUAGUGAACAAAUGAUUGGCCUGGUAGGCAGUGGAAAAUACAUGAUUUUACAUGGAACAUGCAGAUAUCUUCGAAAAACAGGACAUUGAGUUUUGGAAAUUAGCGUUAUAGUUGAUUUGGAGUGAACCAAGUUACUGUUCAGUUUGGUUGUGGCUUUUGAUGAAGGGAUGGUCCAUCUGAGAUGGAAAUUGGAGGAAGAUUUCAGGAUUUUUUCAUGUUCUUGUCUUUCUGUUAUGCCCCGAGGUAAAAAGCAUUGGAAAUGCUGUUAAUUUUUUGCACGGCGAGCUGCAGAAUAUUGACCAGUCUCACACCAUUGCCAUCACCUUGCCCUUGCAGAUGCGGAUAAAGUUCUCCAAGCUGACAGAAAUUGAAAGCACUCGCAUCCUGUGACGAUGGGGUAGGAGUGGAAGAAUCAGAGUGUUUCUUUGAAAAUUGGCUUGAUGUGUCUGUCCAAGGGUCAUCUGGAGGAAAAAAUACAAGUGCACUCAGACAUGAACUAAUGGAUAAGGAGGAGACAAUCAUAACUGCUUUGGAUUCAGCCCAUAGAAGGGCCAGAGGAGUCGCGCUGACACCUUCAUGUUUAAACAGAGGACACUUUUCUGCGUGCCACUAGAUGUAUAUCAGCCAUACCAAAAUGCUGCCUUUGCCUGAGACAGGGAAGAUGAAAUGACUUUGGGGAAAUGGAGAAUCAUUCAUGAAUCCAGUUACUUUCUGAUCUGACAGCUUUGUGGCAUCUGAAUGGAUAACAAUUUGAUCUGGUAAUCUCAAUUGAUAGAGUGCAAAUGUGUAGUGAUGCAUUUUGGGAGCUCUGGUAAGUGAAAGAUGUUCACAAUGACUAGUAGAUCCCUAGAGAGCACUGAGAAACAAAGGGACCUUGGUGUCCAAAAGCAAGAGUUCAUGCCCUCUGCUUCUGGCCUUUCAGGCAAUGUUGGAUCCAACACUCCACUGAGCCUUAGAUCCCAUGAGCUCUUGUUUUGUUGACCAGUCUGCUAUCACUGACCUUAUCAAAAACAUAUAGACCACAUCAGAUGAAUUUCCCUCUUCAACACUUCUGAUAUCUCCUCAAUAAAAAUUAGAUAAAAUUUGCAAACCAUGGCAUUACCUCAACAAAGCCAUGCUGACUAUCCCCGAACAUUCCAUGUUUCUCCAAGUGCAGCGACAUUUUGUCCCUUAAAAUUCUUUCUGAUAACUUCCCUACCACCAAGGUUAGACUGGCUUGUAACUUCUGGAU
Molecule: long non-coding RNA, 1247 nt
Organism: Stegostoma tigrinum
Lineage: Eukaryota; Metazoa; Chordata; Chondrichthyes; Orectolobiformes; Stegostomatidae
Exons: 4
Source: RefSeq, a predicted model, not a curated record